This 213-nucleotide long non-coding RNA is filed under the name Lathyrus oleraceus (garden pea). RNAcentral describes it as "Pisum sativum (pea) long non-coding RNA (PSAT_LNC031860)". The record is from RNAcentral. Lineage: Eukaryota; Viridiplantae; Streptophyta; Magnoliopsida; Fabales; Fabaceae.
AUUUCUUUCUUAAAAUAACACAAUCCUUGUGUAUACGAACUUACAAUUUUAUUACUUCUUGCUAAACUGAAAUCAAGUUUUUGCCGCAGUUAGCAGAGAUUGUUGAAUUAUUUCAACAAGUCAAUUUUUGUGCUACAAUUUUUAUUUUUUAUUUUUUAUUUUAUUUUAUUCUAGUUUCCUGAUUUUUGUUCUUAUUUAGUUUUUAUCUAGUUC